Molecule: ribosomal RNA, 352 nt
Filed under: uncultured bacterium
Lineage: Bacteria
Description: bacterial SSU rRNA
Rfam family: Bacterial small subunit ribosomal RNA
Source: RNAcentral
GGGUAUCGUUAAUAGCAUAUUCAUUUGACGUUAGCUGCAGAAGAAGCACCGGCUAACCUCCGUGCCAGCAGCCGCGGUAAUACGGAGGGUGCGAGCGUUAAUCGGAAUUACUGGGCGUAAAGCGCAUGCAGGUGGUUUGUUAAGUCAGAUGUGAAAGCCCGGGGCUCAACCUCGGAAUUUGCAUUUGAAAACUGGACAAACUAGAGUACUGUAGAGGGGGUAGAAUUUCAGGUGUAGCGGUGAAAUGCGUAGAGAUCUGAAGGAAUACCGGUGGCGAAGGCGGCCCCCUGGACAGAUACUGACACUCAGAUGCGAAAGCGUGGGGAGCAAACAGGAUUAGAUACCCUGGUAG